UAGCAGGCCACAGAAAUGAGUUUGAGAUGA
Molecule: non-coding RNA, 30 nt
Filed under: Mus musculus (house mouse)
Lineage: Eukaryota; Metazoa; Chordata; Mammalia; Rodentia; Muridae
Source: RNAcentral